GCAGAUCAGAAUGUAUAGAUGGAUAUAAUUAUCCUGAUGGUUCGAAAGAAAUAAUAACUACUUGCACUAAAAGUGAUGGUAAAUAUGACCCCGUAAAGGAAAUUCCUGAUUGUGAAAUCGCAGGUGUUGAAGAUACAGAAGACAAAAACUCCACUGAAGCAAACAUUUGAAUUUUAAGUCUUAUUUUAUUAAUUACGGAAAAUAUUAAUCAUUCUGAAUACUACAUUUAAUUUUAAUUGACAAAAAGUAAAAAAAAAAAUCGAAAUAUUGUGUAAUUUAACUUUUCAUUUAGUUAUUGAAAAUCUGUAAUCUCAUAUAAUAAAUUAUAUAUAUUAAUUCAAUUAAUAUCAUAUGUAAUGCACAAUGUUAACAAAAAUUUCACCCAGUUAAUUAUUUCAAAAGCUAAUAGGAAAAUAAUUGUAAACCUUUAGUUGAUGUGUACUAUGUCAGUCAUACUUUAAAAUGACCCAGUGUUAUCUAAUUAAAUGAUGAUGCAAAUUUCUAUUCUUUCAGCUCUUAUAUAGAAGAGGACGGUUGUCAUCUCAGCCCCUAAUGAAAAUAGGCAAAAUUAUCAAUUAUAUAUAUGUAGCACAUAAAAGUAUAUGUACAAUUUCUUUUUAGUCCAUUCCUAAAUAUUAAGUGGAAUCUUGGAACAGGUAAAUGAUUCACUGCAUAACACUCAAGGCGGUAGCAGUGCAUCACUCCGUAACACAAAGGCAAUUCAGGAGUGGUUGAACGUGUGAUUAUGUUUAGGUUAGUAAUGAUGUGGCUAUGCAAAUAAUCCGAUUCAAUAGAAAAUAUGAAAUACCGUUAAAUUAAACACACAAACAUCACAGACGUUUGUAUAUGCCGUUUAAUAUGACAUCUGUACAUGCCUGUACAUAAUAUGAUAUGGAUAUGAACAUUUUCAUAUCCGUAUUAAUGCUAACUUGAACCUAACUAUAUAUUUAACCAUUUCUUCAAGACAGCGGAUGGCCGCGCGGUUUAACGUGUUUAUCGCUCUGUGAGACCCGGGAAGGAAUCCAGAUAGGUCGAAAAACAUUAAUAAUUUUUCUUGGAUUGUCCGUCCCAAAUAUGUCAGGCUCAUCGCCUCUCCAUCCGGCCGUCCAAUUAAGACCCUAACUUAACUCUCGAUGAAUUUGAUUAAAAAAAAAGUCUUCCCAGCACCCACAGAGCGAAAAAAAUAACCAUUAAUACAUUGCAUUCGUGUUAUGCAGUGAUGCAUUUU
This is a long non-coding RNA of Centruroides sculpturatus (bark scorpion), 1228 nucleotides long. RefSeq lists it as uncharacterized. The transcript is spliced from 2 exons. NCBI's taxonomy places the organism in Eukaryota, Metazoa, Arthropoda, Arachnida, Scorpiones, Buthidae. The record is from RefSeq and is a predicted model, not a curated record.